CAGUAGCCGCGGUAAUACAGAGGGUGCGAGCGUUAAUCGGAUUUACUGGGCGUAAAGCGUGCGUAGGCGGCUAAUUGAGUCGGAUGUGAAAUCCCAGAGCUUAACUUGGGAAUUGCAUUCGAUACUGGUUAGCUAGAGUGUGGGAGAGGAUGGUAGAAUUCCAGGUGUAGCGGUGAAAUGCGUAGAGAUCUGGAGGAAUACCGAUGGCGAAGGCAGCCAUCUGGCCUAACACUGACGCUGAGGUACGAAAGCAUGGGGAGCAAACAGGAUUAGAGACCCGCGUAGUCCCUGUCUCUUAUAC
Molecule: ribosomal RNA, 301 nt
Filed under: uncultured bacterium
Lineage: Bacteria
Description: partial 16S ribosomal RNA
Rfam family: Bacterial small subunit ribosomal RNA
Source: RNAcentral